GCCUACGGCCAUAUCACCCUGAAUGCGCCCAAACUCGUCUGAUCUCGGAAGCUAAGCAGGGUCGGGCCUUGGAUGGGAGAAGCAGCAUUACAAAAAGGGAGAGAAAGACA
Ribosomal RNA from Colobus angolensis palliatus, 110 nucleotides. NCBI's taxonomy places the organism in Eukaryota, Metazoa, Chordata, Mammalia, Primates, Cercopithecidae. The record is from Ensembl.